GGAAGUGCGUCACUGUGGGGGCGGGCUUUGGUGUCUCAUAUGGUACUCAGCUCUUCUGCUGCUUCCUGUGGACCCAGACGUAGAACCGUCAGCUCCUUCUCCAGCACCGGGUCUGCCUGCGUUCCACCAUGAAGAUAAUGGACUGACCCUCUGAGCUGAUCCUGUCCCAAUGGUCCUUGGAUAACCCAUCAUCUCAGUACUGGUCAUCAGAUAACCCAUCAUCUCAGUACUGGUCCUUGGAUAACACGUCAUCUCAGUACUGGUCCUUAGAUAACACGUCAUCUCAGUAUUGGUCCUCGGAUAACACAUCACUCCGCCUCUCCUUUAGCGUAGUCUAAAUUCCACACCCAUUGUCUGCUACGACUCAGUUAAUCUUGCUAUUCAGACAGUUAAAUAAAUCCCUGUAGCCAA
Mesocricetus auratus (golden hamster) is the source of this 411-nucleotide long non-coding RNA. RefSeq lists it as uncharacterized. The record is from RefSeq and is a predicted model, not a curated record. The transcript is spliced from 2 exons. Lineage: Eukaryota; Metazoa; Chordata; Mammalia; Rodentia; Cricetidae.